GAGUAGGGCGGGACACGUGGUAUCCUGUCUGAAUAUGGGGGGACCAUCCUCCAAGGCUAAAUACUCCUGACUGACCGAUAGUGAACCAGUACCGUGAGGGAAAGGCGAAAAGAACCCCGGCGAGGGGAGUGAAAAAGAACCUGAAACCGUGUACGUACAAGCAGUGGGAGCACCUUCGGGUGUGACUGCGUACCUUUUGUAUAAUGGGUCAGCGACUUAUAUUCUGUAGCAAGGUUAACCGUAUAGGGGAGCCGCAGGGAAACCGAGUCUUAACUGGGCGUUAAGUUGCAGGGUAUAGACCCGAAACCCGGUGAUCUAGCCAUGGGCAGGUUGAAGGUUGGGUAACACUAACUGGAGGACCGAACCGACUAAUGUUGAAAAAUUAGCGGAUGACUUGUGGCUGGGGGUGAAAGGCCAAUCAAACCGGGAGAUAGCUGGUUCUCCCCGAAAGCUAUUUAGGUAGCGCCUCGUGAACUCAUCUUCGGGGGUAGAGCACUGUUUCGGCUAGGGGGUCAUCCCGACUUACCAACCCGAUGCAAACUACGAAUACCGAAGAAUGUUAUCACGGGAGACACACGGCGGGUGCUAACGUCCGUCGUGAAGAGGGAAACAACCCAGACCGCCAGCUAAGGUCCCAAAGUCAUGGUUAAGUGGGAAACGAUGUGGGAAGGCACAGACAGCCAGGAUGUUGGCUUAGAAGCAGCCAUCAUUUAAAGAAAGCGUAAUAGCUCACUGGUCGAGUCGGCCUGCGCGGAAGAUGUAACGGGGCUAAACCAUGCACCGAAGCUGCGGCAGCGACACUAUGUGUUGUUGGGUAGGGGAGCGUUCUGUAAGCCUG
RNAcentral lists this ribosomal RNA (838 nucleotides) under Klebsiella pneumoniae. Its description in RNAcentral is "partial 23S ribosomal RNA". It matches the Rfam family "Bacterial large subunit ribosomal RNA", at positions 410 to 1251 of the family's 2925-position model. Lineage: Bacteria; Pseudomonadati; Pseudomonadota; Gammaproteobacteria; Enterobacterales; Enterobacteriaceae. The record is from RNAcentral.